UGCAACAACGUAUCAAAAGUAGUUGUUACAGUUGACAGCACUGUCAACUGUAACAACUACUUUUGAUACGUUGUUGCA
Pelobates cultripes (western spadefoot toad) is the source of this 78-nucleotide non-coding RNA. The record is from the annotation of a GenBank genome assembly. Lineage: Eukaryota; Metazoa; Chordata; Amphibia; Anura; Pelobatidae.